Long non-coding RNA from Dioscorea cayenensis subsp. rotundata (Guinea yam), 224 nucleotides. RefSeq lists it as uncharacterized. The record is from RefSeq and is a predicted model, not a curated record. NCBI's taxonomy places the organism in Eukaryota, Viridiplantae, Streptophyta, Magnoliopsida, Dioscoreales, Dioscoreaceae. The transcript has 3 exons.
CAGCAACAUCACCACCAAACCGCUUCUUGUGCAGAAAAUUCCUGAAGAUAUUGCCCCUCACAAUUCCUUCAAGAAUUCAUCCAUUUCCAGGUUCUUAGCAAGUUGGGAGGUGGAGGAGAGGAGUAGCUGUUGGUGAUUCUCUGGUUUGAGCUAAAUCAGAUGGGGGAAACUAUCGGACCUCGUCUUUACAGCUGCAGUAAGUGUGGCAACCAUGCUCGAUGCUC